AAGUCGUAACAAGGUUUCCGUAGGUGAACCUGCGGAAGGAUCAUUAACAAUUGUCCAUUUUCCUUUGCAUAUGGAUGGUUCAAAUCCAUAUCCACCUUCGUGUGCACAUCAUUGACAUGUUUGCUUUGGCAGUUUGCAGGGAGAUUCUUUUACCGGUUUCUCCGUGGAGGGAAAAGAGGGGAGAUAGACAAGGUAGAGAGAGCAGGGAGAUUUUCUCUCUGCUUCCCCUUCCCCUUCUCACCUCCCUUCCUCCGGCGCUGCCAGAGUUUUUUCUUUCAUCUUGACGAACUUUUCUUGCUU
RNAcentral lists this unclassified non-coding RNA (300 nucleotides) under Endogonomycetes sp. Its description in RNAcentral is "partial contains small subunit ribosomal RNA and internal transcribed spacer 1". The stretch from base 1 to 46 matches the Rfam family "Eukaryotic small subunit ribosomal RNA", at positions 1786 to 1831 of the family's 1831-position model. The record is from RNAcentral. Lineage: Eukaryota; Fungi; Mucoromycota; Endogonomycetes.